RNAcentral lists this ribosomal RNA (497 nucleotides) under uncultured bacterium. RNAcentral's name for it is "partial 16S ribosomal RNA". It matches the Rfam family "Bacterial small subunit ribosomal RNA", at positions 28 to 507 of the family's 1533-position model. The record is from RNAcentral.
GAUGAACGCUGGCGGCGUGCCUAAUACAUGCAAGUCGAGCGAACGGACGAGAAGCUUGCUUCUCUGAUGUUAGCGGCGGACGGGUGAGUAACACGUGGAUAACCUACCUAUAAGACUGGGAUAACUUCGGGAAACCGGAGCUAAUACCGGAUGAUAUUUUGAACCGCAUGGUUCAAAAGUGAAAGACGGUCUUGCUGUCACUUAUAGAUGGAUCCGCGCUGCAUUAGCUAGUUGGUAAGGUAACGGCUUACCAAGGCAACGAUGCAUAGCCGACCUGAGAGGGUGAUCGGCCACACUGGAACUGAGACACGGUCCAGACUCCUAUGGGAGGCAGCAGUAGGGAAUCUUCCGCAAUGGGCGAAAGCCUGACGGAGCAACGCCGCGUGAGUGAUGAAGGUCUUCGGAUCGUAAAACUCUGUUAUUAGGGAAGAACAUAUGUGUAAGUAACUGUGCACAUCUUGACGGUACCUAAUCAGAAAACCACGGCUAACUACGUG